GGCUUAGAGUUUGAUCAUGGCUCAGGAUGAACGCUGGCGGCGUGCCUAACACAUGCAAGUCGAACGAAGCACCUUCUUUAGAUUCUUCGGAUGAAGAAGACUGUGACUGAGUGGCGGACGGGUGAGUAACGCGUGGGCAACCUGCCCUGUACAGGGGGAUAACAGUUAGAAAUGACUGCUAAUACCGCAUAAGCGCACGAGGACGCAUGUUCUUGUGUGAAAAACCCCGGUGGUACAGGAUGGGCCCGCGUCUGAUUAGGUAGUUGGUGGGGCAGCGGCCUACCAAGCCGACGAUCAGUAGCCGACCUGAGAGGGUGACCGGCCACAUUGGGACUGAGACACGGCCCAAACUCCUACGGGAGGCAGCAGUGGGGAAUAUUGCACAAUGGGGGAAACCCUGAUGCAGCGACGCCGCGUGAAGGAAGAAGUAUUUCGGUAUGUAAACUUCUAUCAGCAGGGAAGAAACUGACGGUACCUGACUAAGAAGCACCGGCUAAAUACGUGCCAGCAGCCGCGGUAAUACGUAUGGUGCAAGCGUUAUCCGGAUUUACUGGGUGUAAAGGGAGCGUAGACGGAGAGGCAAGUCUGAAGUGAAAGCCCGGGGCUCAACCCCGGGACUGCUUUGGAAACUGCAGUUCUAGAGUGCCGGAGAGGUAAGCG
RNAcentral lists this ribosomal RNA (660 nucleotides) under uncultured organism. RNAcentral's name for it is "bacterial SSU rRNA". It matches the Rfam family "Bacterial small subunit ribosomal RNA", at positions 1 to 663 of the family's 1533-position model. The record is from RNAcentral.